GAUGAACGCUAGCGGCAGGCCUAACACAUGCAAGUCGAGGGGUAGCAGGAUUAAGCUUGCUUAAUUGCUGACGACCGGCGCACGGGUGCGUAACGCGUAUGCAACCUACCUUAUACUGGGGUAUAGCCCGGAGAAAUUCGGAUUAAUCCCCCAUAGUACUAAUGAAUCGCAUGGUUUAUUAGUUAAAGCAUUGCGGUAUAAGAUGGGCAUGCGUCCUAUUAGCUAGAUGGUGGGGUAACGGCUCACCAUGGCUACGAUAGGUAGGGGGCCUGAGAGGGUGGUCCCCCACACUGGUACUGAGACACGGACCAGUCUCCUACGGGAGGCAGCAGUGAGGAAUAUUGGUCAAUGGGCGCAAGCCUGAACCAGCCAUGCCGCGUGCAGGAAGAAUGCCCUAUGGGUUGUAAACUGCUUUUAUUUGGGAAUAAACCUCUUUACGUGUAGAGAGCUGAAGGUACCAAAUGAAUAAGCACCGGCUAACUCCGUGCCAGCCGCCGCAGUAA
This 503-nucleotide ribosomal RNA is filed under the name uncultured bacterium. Its description in RNAcentral is "partial 16S ribosomal RNA". It matches the Rfam family "Bacterial small subunit ribosomal RNA", at positions 28 to 523 of the family's 1533-position model. The record is from RNAcentral.